Long non-coding RNA from Haliotis rubra (blacklip abalone), 120 nucleotides. RefSeq lists it as uncharacterized. NCBI's taxonomy places the organism in Eukaryota, Metazoa, Mollusca, Gastropoda, Lepetellida, Haliotidae. The record is from RefSeq and is a predicted model, not a curated record. The transcript is spliced from 3 exons.
CGGCUAAUUUAUUCAUUAGACUAAUUAGACUUUAUCUUGAACAACUCAAGAAAUAUAUAAACUGGUGAACAGCAUAUGUGUUCGCUAUCAAUAUGGCUGGAGUGCGGAGAGUCGAAUAUC